CGUUGUUCAUGAAUGGAACUUGAAUCUCUACUAUUUAUCUAUCCUCAUAUGCCAUUUGAGUGGAGGUGUGACCGGGGACUACAAAAAUAGAAGAGGCGACCAACAUGUUUUAUUUGUAUGAAUACAUAGUUGGUGUUGGGCUUUGUUGAUAGUGAAUAUUGUAAAUCAGGGAGACAACCCUGCGUCUUUAUUACCCUGGCAAUCAUUUCUAUUUUUAUAUUCAUACUCUUUCAAACUAUAAUGCUUAAGGCUUUGCCCUUUAUAAAAGGAUGGUGAUUAUUGCGAGUGUGUGGCCACUAAAGGUAAUGAGGUAUUGGAGGUUUUGGAGAAAGCAAAAGAUGAGAAUAUUGGUCACUCAAAUGUAGAAUUGAUCACUCAAAUGCAAAAACUGGCACAGGUUAGAAACAAAGGCUUGACAUAGGGGAGAUUGAGUUCUAAUAGCUCUAUUACAAUAAAAAAGACCCAGUUCCAUGCAAAAACUGGCACAGGUUAGAAACAAAGGCUUGACAUAGGGGAGAUUGAGUUCUAAUAGCUCUAUUACAAUAAAAAAGAUCCAGUUCCAUGACAAUAGUAAUCAUAAGAUUCUUCAAAAAGUAAGCAUGUAAGUGUUCUGAAAGAAGAAAAAUUGUUAGAAUUUAUAUAACUCUAAUAAUAAGUGUGAAAAAUAUAAAUACCAUCAAAUUUUCCAAAUGAAUGGAACCAAUUUACACAUAUUAUAUGUAAAAGGGUGCUAGAGUUAUGCAUAUAUGCUCUCUAACAAAGUUCACUCAUAUUAAGGGUGUCACUUAAGGAGCAUAUUGGAAAAUAUUCAUACAAUUUGAAUUGCAUGGUAUUUUUAAUUGAU
Long non-coding RNA from Cryptomeria japonica (Japanese cedar), 844 nucleotides. RefSeq lists it as uncharacterized. Lineage: Eukaryota; Viridiplantae; Streptophyta; Pinopsida; Cupressales; Cupressaceae. The transcript is spliced from 2 exons. The record is from RefSeq and is a predicted model, not a curated record.